Molecule: ribosomal RNA, 450 nt
Filed under: uncultured bacterium
Lineage: Bacteria
Description: bacterial SSU rRNA
Rfam family: Bacterial small subunit ribosomal RNA
Source: RNAcentral
GUGGGGAAUAUUGGACAAUGGGCGAAAGCCUGAUCCAGCCAUGCCGCGUGUGUGAAGAAGGUCUUCGGAUUGUAAAGCACUUUAAGUUGGGAGGAAGGGCAGUAAGUUAAUACCUUGCUGUUUUUACGUUACCGACAGAAUAAGCACCGGCUAACUUCGUGCCAGCAGCCGCGGUAAUACGAAGGGUGCAAGCGUUAAUCGGAAUUACUGGGCGUAAAGCGCGCGUAGGUGGUUUUGUAAGUUGGAGGUGAAAUCCCCGGGCUCAACCUGGGAACUGCCUCCAAAACUACCAAGCUAGAGUACUGUAGAUGGUAGUGGAAUUUCCUGUGUAACGGUGAAAUGCGUAGAUAUAGGAAGGAACACCAGUGGCGAAGGCGACUACCUGGACUGAUACUGACACUGAGGCACGAAAGCGUGGGGAGCAAACAGGAUUAGAAACCCUUGUAGUCC